GCCAUAACUGAGUGGUAGAGAAUCUGUUUUGCGUACAAAAAGUCCCAGGUUCAAUCCCUGCCAUCUCCA
Non-coding RNA from Podarcis lilfordi (Lilford's wall lizard), 69 nucleotides. The record is from the annotation of a GenBank genome assembly. NCBI's taxonomy places the organism in Eukaryota, Metazoa, Chordata, Lepidosauria, Squamata, Lacertidae.